RNAcentral lists this unclassified non-coding RNA (377 nucleotides) under uncultured bacterium. RNAcentral's name for it is "contains 16S-23S intergenic spacer region". The record is from RNAcentral.
UCCGAGUUGACCCCGGCAGUCUCCUGCGAGUCCCCGCCAUUACGCGCUGGCAACACAGGACAAGGGUUGCGCUCGUUGCGGGACUUAACCCAACAUCUCACGACACGAGCUGACGACAGCCAUGCACCACCUGUAUACCGACCACAAGGGGGGCCGUAUCUCUACGGCUUUUCCGUACAUGUCAAGCCCAGGUAAGGUUCUUCGCGUUGCAUCGAAUUAAAGAACAUGCUCCGCUGCUUGUGCGGGCCCCCGUCAAUUCUUUUGAGUUUCAGCCUUGCGGCCGUACUCCCCAGGCGGAGUGCUUAAUGCGUUAGCUGCAGCACUAAGGGGCGGAAACCCCCUAACACUUAGCACUCAUCGUUUACGGCAUGGACUAC